GAAUGAAGAACGUAGCGAAAUGCGAAAAGUAAUGUGAAUUGCAGAAUUCAGUGAAUCAUCGAAUCUUUGAACGCACAUUGCGCCCGCUGGUACUCCGGCGGGCACGCCUGUCCGAGCGUCAUUUCAACCCUCAAGCCCUCCUUCGGGAUGGGCCUGGUGUUGGGGCUCGGCCGCCAUCUCCGGCGGCCGUCCCCUAAAUACAGUGGCGGUCACGUCGCGACUCCUUUGCGUAGUAGAAACACCUCGCUCCGGAUAGCAACGCGGUCCACGCCGUAAAACCCCCAAUUUUCAAUGGUUGACCUCGGAUCAGGUGGGAAUACCCGCUGAACUUAAGCAUAUCAAUAAGCGGAGGA
Molecule: unclassified non-coding RNA, 353 nt
Filed under: soil metagenome
Description: partial contains 5.8S ribosomal RNA, internal transcribed spacer 2, and large subunit ribosomal RNA
Rfam family: 5.8S ribosomal RNA (bases 3-121)
Source: RNAcentral